This 387-nucleotide ribosomal RNA is filed under the name uncultured bacterium. RNAcentral describes it as "bacterial SSU rRNA". It matches the Rfam family "Bacterial small subunit ribosomal RNA", at positions 28 to 416 of the family's 1533-position model. The record is from RNAcentral.
GACGAACGCUGGCGGCGUGCUUAACACAUGCAAGUCGAGCGGUAAGGCCCUUUCGGGGGUACACGAGCGGCGAACGGGUGAGUAACACGUGGGUGACCUGCCUUUAGCUCUGGGAUAAGCCUGGGAAACCGGGUCUAAUACCGGAUAUGACUCCGCGGCGCAUGUUGUGGGGUGGAAAGCCUUGUGCGGCUAGGGAUGGGCCCGCGGCCUAUCAGCUUGUUGGUGGGGUGAUGGCCUACCAAGGCGACGACGGGUAGCCGGCCUGAGAGGGCGACCGGCCACACUGGGACUGAGACACGGCCCAGACUCCUACGGGAGGCAGCAGUGGGGAAUCUUGCGCAAUGGGCGAAAGCCUGACGCAGCGACGCCGCGUGAGGGAUGACGGCC